CUUGUUUGUUUAUGUUUCUCCCCGGAUCAAGCUUAAAAACUGCAAUGACACUUGUGGGAAAAUAAUUAAGCACAGCACCCUGCUGAAUCCAUUUCAAAUUCUUGCUGUUUGCCAAAGUCCAAUGAAACAGGCAGUCAGCUGGAUUCAGUGUCUACUGAAUAACUUUUUGGCUCGACCUAUUUGGACUCAUACCAAAUCACAAACGUUUCCAAUGUAAUGCCUUUUGUAAAAGGCGAAAGAUUUCUACGAUCUGAAGAGAAACCGGAGUGCAUUGGUUUAUUUUUGCACAUAAGUAAUAGGCAAAGAGCAUAAGAACUUAGUAAACUGUUUUAGUACAGAGACAGAGGAAGACCUUUGGUUCAUCUAGCUCAGUAAUGUCUGCACGGACUGGCAGCAACUACCCUGGGUUCAAGGUGGGAACAUUCCCAGCCAUGCCUGUAGAUGUUGCUGGAGUUUAGUCCUGGGAUCUGCUGCAUACAAGGCAGAUCUUCUUCUUCUUUUUUUUUCUUCAAUAAUUUUUUAUUAAAUUUUUAAACAAACCACUUGUUUUCAGUCCAACAUCACUCUAACAUUCCUUAAUUUUGCAGUGUUUCUGAAGAUAGUCUUUGAAUUUCUUCCAAUCUUCCUCCAUCGACUCUUCUCCCUGGUCACGGAUUCUACCAGUCAUUUCCGCCAAUUCCAUAUAGUCCAUAAGUUUCAUCUGCCAUUCCUCCAGCGUGGGAAGUUCUUGUGUCUUCCAAUACUUUGCGAUAAGUAUUCUUGCUGCUGUUGUUGCAUACGUAAAGAAAGUUCUAUCCUUUUUUAACACCAUUUGGCCUACUAUGCCCAGGAGAAAGGCCUCUGGUUUCUUAGGGAAGGUAUACUUAAAUACCUUUUUUAAUUCAUUAUAUAUCAUUUCCCAGAAAGCCUUAAUCUUUGGGCACGUCCACCAAAGGUGAAAAAUGUACCUUCAGUUUCUUUACAUUUCCAACAUUUGUUAUCGGGCAAGUGAUAGAUUUUCGCAAGCUUGACUGGGGUUAUGUACCACCUGUAUAUCAUUUUCAUAAUAUUCUCUCUUAAGGCAUUACAUGCCGUAAAUUUCAUACCUGUGGUCCAUAACUGUUCCCAGUCAGCAAACAUAAUGUUAUGGCCAACGUCCUGUGCCCAUUUAAUCAUAGCCGAUUUUACCGUUUCAUCUUGAGUAUUCCAUUUCAGCAGCAAGUUAUACAUUCUUGACAAGUUCUUAGUAUUGGGUUCUAACAGUUCUGUUUCUAAUUUGGAUCUUUCCACCUGGAAGCCAAUUUUCCUGUCCAAUUUAAAUACCUCCAUUAUUUGAUAAUAAUGAAGCCAGUCUCGCACUUUGUUUUUAAUUUUUCAAAACUCUGCAAUUUCAGUCUAUCUCCGUCUUGUUCCAAAAUUUCCCAAUAUUUCGGCCAUUUGACCUCCAUAUUGACCUUUUUCAAGGCUUUCGCUUCCAUUGGUGACAGCCACCUUGGGGUUUUAUUUUCUAGCAAAUCCUUAUAUCUUAUUCAAACAUUAAACAGCGCUUUCCUGACAAUGUGGUUUUUAAAUGCUUUAUGUGCCUUGACCUUAUCAUACCAUAAAUAUGCAUGCCAUCCAAAUACAUUAUUAAAACCUUCUAGAUCCAAAAUGUCAGUGUUUUCAAGAAGUAGCCAUUCUUUCAACCAGCAAAAAGCUGCUGAUUCAUAGUACAGUUUAAGGUCUGGCAGGGCAAAUCCACCUCUUUCCUUUGCAUCCGUUAGUAUUUUAAAUUUUAUUCUGGGCUUCUUGCCCUGCCAGACAAUCUAGAAAUAUCUUUCUGCCACCUCUUGAAACAAUCCAUUUUGUCCACGAUCUGCAAAGUUUGAAACAAAAACAACAUUCUAGGCAAUACAUUCAUCUUUGAAUGCGAUACGGCCUAGCAGUGAAAGCUUCAAAUCUGACCAAAUUUCUAAAUCUUUUUUCACUUCUGACCAACAUUUUUCAUAGUUAUCUUUAAAUAAAUUCCCAUUUUUUGCUGUCAUGUUAAUCCCCAGGUAUUUAACUUUCUUAACCACUGUUAACCACUGUUAAACCUGUCUCAUUCUGAAACCUCUCUCUUUCAAACGGUGUUAAAUUUUUCUCUAGAACCUUGGUUUUUGACUUGUUCAAUUUAAAUCCUGCCACUUGACCAAAUUCUUGAAUCAGUUCUAAAACCCUUUUUGUACUAGAUUCUGGCUCCUGUAACAUCAAUACUAAGUCAUCUGCAAAUGCUCUCAAUUUAUAGUGUUUAGUUCCGACCUGUAUACCUUUAACCAUCUGGUCCCUUCUAAUCAUAUUCAGCAACACCUCCAGGACCGCAUACAAGGCAGAUCUUCUACCCCUGAGCUCUCACUCUUCCCUGAAGUAGGAUUCUAGUCCUUAUGGUUCUGAAUUAAGGACUGUGCUAAACAGGAACAUCAGAAGCUGCCUUACAGAGGGUUAGACUGCCAACUGUUACGGAAAUUACCGGGGAUGGGGGCACAUCUUUAAAGUUAAAUAUUACAAAUAUUAUGCCUGAAUGUAUCCUUUCAACUUGACAGCUCAGGGAAGUUACCUAGCUUAAAAAAUAAUAUAAAAUCAUCUCCUUUCCCAGUUUCCUCCAUCCCAAAGCUAUUUUCCCCUUGAAAAGGGACUCCAGGAAGUUCCCAGAGGUGACAAUUGCUGGGCUCAUUGUUAGCCAAAGGAAGCCAGAUCUCAUCACCUGACUCACCUCAGGCUCCAGACAUGCAAAGGAACUUCCAUUGUACGGUUGGGUGGUGGGUACUUAAGACAUACAUGUUUGUCUAUGCUAAUCUUAUAC
This 2800-nucleotide long non-coding RNA is filed under the name Podarcis lilfordi (Lilford's wall lizard). The record is from RNAcentral. Lineage: Eukaryota; Metazoa; Chordata; Lepidosauria; Squamata; Lacertidae.